CCUACGGGAGGCAGCAGUGGGGAAUUCCGACAAUGGGGGAAACCCUGAUCCAGCCAUCCCGCGUGUAUGAUGAAGGCCUUCGGGUUGUAAAGUACUUUUGGCAGAGAAGAAAAGGUAUCCCCUAAUACGGGAUACUGCUGACGGUAUCUGCAGAAUAAGCACCGGCUAACUACGUGCCAGCAGCCGCGGUAAUACGUAGGGUGCAAGCGUUAAUCGGAAUUACUGGGCGUAAAGCGUGUGUAGGCGGUUCGGAAAGAAAGAUGUGAAAUCCCAGGGCUCAACCUUGGAACUGCAUUUUUAACUGCCGAGCUAGAGUAUGUCAGAGGGGGGUAGAAUUCCACGUGUAGCAGUGAAAUGCGUAGAUAUGUGGAGGAAUACCGAUGGCGAAGGCAGCCCCCUGGGAUAAUACUGACGCUCAGACACGAAAGCGUGGGGAGCAAACAGGAUUAGAUACCCUGGUAGUCCACGCCCUAAACGAUGUCAACUAGCUGUUGGGGCCGUUAGGCCUUAGUAGCGCAGCUAACGUGUGAAGUUGACCGCCUGGGGAGUACGGUCGCAAGAUUAAAACUCAAAGGAAUUGACGG
This 584-nucleotide ribosomal RNA is filed under the name uncultured bacterium. Its description in RNAcentral is "bacterial SSU rRNA". It matches the Rfam family "Bacterial small subunit ribosomal RNA", at positions 338 to 916 of the family's 1533-position model. The record is from RNAcentral.